UCUCUGAAUGAUUUUUUUAAUAUAAUUUAACUUUGAUCUCGAAACCGUCAGCUAUGGCGACUACACUGAUGUUACGAUUGUUCUGUACAGACUGCUGUUUUGGUUUUCAACCACCAAAUCUAUAAAUGUGGUUUUGAGGAAACCUAAAAUUAUAUUACAGAACACAUGUCUUGUUUUCAAAUAAAAAAACCCAACAUAAAACAACAAAUAUGAUAAUUUAAUUCAUGUUACAUGUAUUAAAUAUACAUGUGAGGGCGUUAGCUCGUAUGAGUGUAUCUAAUUUACACCAAGAUAUCAUUGUCAAGGCAAAAUAGUUGCUUUCAAAAGUUCAGAAGGGGGUCAUAAACGACUUGACCAUAUGAAUACAACCACUGGGUCGAUGCAACUGCUGGUGGAGAUGUAUUUCCCCGAGGGUAUCACAAGCCCAGUAGUGCUAAUUGUCAUUGAUAUGGUUAUAUUUAUUAAUCAACUGUUUACAAAAUUUUGAAUUUUUUGAAAUACUAAGGUUUUUCUACCUCAGGCAUAGAUUACCUUAGCUGUAUUUGGCAAAACUUUUAGGAAUUUUGUUCCUCAAUGCUCUUCAACUUCGUACUUUAUUUGGCCUUUUUAACUUUUUUGGAUUCGAGCGUCACUGAUGAGUCUUUUGUAGACGAGCGUAUAUACAAAAUUUAGUCCUGGUAUCUAUGAUGAGUUUAUUUAUUGAAAAACCAUAUUAAAUGUAGGGUAACCAAUUUCAUUUAACGACAUAUUGGUGUAAAUAGCGAUAUAUCAUUUCUGUGACUUGACUGUAAGUGUUGCUCUUCGCCUAUUGCAGUUGAUUCAAAAUGCCGACCCAACUGCAAUUGGUUUUAUCAAACCAAACUGUUCAACAGAAAUGCAAUAUUGUAAUAGCAGUGAAUAGAAGUGUUUAAGUUUUAUAGGAUUGUAGGCAUGUUUUAUUUCAUUUUGACUAUGAUGAUUCGACUGUGGUUUUCUACAGCAGUUUGGUAAAUUUCACUAGCCCAACAGUUUGAAUAUUUGUUUUAUAAAAUUAAUAGUUCAUACAAUAGGUGAUUGAUGAAGCGUGAAUGUAAUACACAGGGCUGCCUUAUGCCCAACGUCAUAAUGAUACUUUAUGAUGAGUUAAUUUGUCAUAAGGUAAACGCAGAUCGGUUGCAGUCUGCCAAAAACAUGUCCUCCUCUUCAACAGUCUUGAAAACAUUCAGGUGUCUGAAAUAUGUAGAAAGGCACAUUAAGUUAUUAAAUAAAUCAGUUUAUCAAUCAAUCAAUCAAUCAAUCAAUCAAUCAAUCAAUCAAUCAAUCAAUCAAUUAAU
Molecule: long non-coding RNA, 1313 nt
Filed under: Mytilus galloprovincialis (Mediterranean mussel)
Lineage: Eukaryota; Metazoa; Mollusca; Bivalvia; Mytilida; Mytilidae
Source: RNAcentral